AUUGAACGCUGGCGGCAUGCUUUACACAUGCAAGUCGAACGGUAACAGGCCUUCGGGUGCUGACGAGUGGCGGACGGGUGAGUAAUGCAUCGGAACGUACCCAGAGGUGGGGGAUAACGCAGCGAAAGCUGUGCCAAUACCGCAUGUGAUCUGAGGAUGAAAGCGGGGGACCGAGCAGCAAUGUUUGGCCUCGCGCCUUUGGAGCGGCCGAUGUCGGAUUAGCUAGUUGGUGGGGUAAAGGCCUACCAAGGCGACGAUCCGUAGCUGGUCUGAGAGGACGACCAGCCACACUGGGACUGAGACACGGCCCAGACUCCUACGGGAGGCAGCAGUGGGGAAUUUUGGACAAUGGGCGCAAGCCUGAUCCAGCAAUGCCGCGUGCGGGAAGAAGGCCUUCGGGUUGUAAACCGCUUUUGGCAGGAACGAAACGGUGUCCGCUAAUACCGGGCGCUAAUGACGGUACCUGCAGAAUAAGCACCGGCUAACUACGUG
Molecule: ribosomal RNA, 492 nt
Filed under: uncultured bacterium
Lineage: Bacteria
Description: partial 16S ribosomal RNA
Rfam family: Bacterial small subunit ribosomal RNA
Source: RNAcentral